This 609-nucleotide small RNA is filed under the name Fusarium solani. RNAcentral describes it as "eukaryotic LSU rRNA". It matches the Rfam family "Eukaryotic large subunit ribosomal RNA", at positions 36 to 668 of the family's 3401-position model. The record is from RNAcentral. Lineage: Eukaryota; Fungi; Ascomycota; Sordariomycetes; Hypocreales; Nectriaceae.
UUGCAUAUCCAAUAAGCGGAGGAAAAGAAACCAACAGGGAUUGCCCCAGUAACGGCGAGUGAAGCGGCAACAGCUCAAAUUUGAAAUCUGGCUCUCGGGCCCGAGUUGUAAUUUGUAGAGGAUGCUUUUGGUGAGGUGCCUUCCGAGUUCCCUGGAACGGGACGCCAUAGAGGGUGAGAGCCCCGUCUGGUUGGACACCGAUCCUCUGUAAAGCUCCUUCGACGAGUCGAGUAGUUUGGGAAUGCUGCUCUAAAUGGGAGGUAUAUGUCUUCUAAAGCUAAAUACCGGCCAGAGACCGAUAGCGCACAAGUAGAGUGAUCGAAAGAUGAAAAGAACUUUGAAAAGAGAGUUAAACAGUACGUGAAAUUGUUGAAAGGGAAGCGCUUGUGACCAGACUUGGGCUUGGUUGAUCAUCCGGGGUUCUCCCCGGUGCACUCUUCCGGCUCAGGCCAGCAUCAGUUCGCCCUGGGGGAUAAAGGCUUCGGGAAUGUGGCUCUCUCCGGGGAGUGUUAUAGCCCGCUGCGUAAUACCCUGUGGCGGACUGAGGUUCGCGCAUUCGCAAGGAUGCUGGCGUAAUGGUCAUCAGUGACCCGUCUUGAACACGGACCA